Labeo rohita (rohu) is the source of this 6193-nucleotide long non-coding RNA. RefSeq lists it as uncharacterized. The transcript is spliced from 3 exons. The record is from RefSeq and is a predicted model, not a curated record. NCBI's taxonomy places the organism in Eukaryota, Metazoa, Chordata, Actinopteri, Cypriniformes, Cyprinidae.
GCCUGGCCAAGCUGGUUUUAGCUGGUUAAGCUGGAAGUAGCUGGAAGUAGCUGGUUUUAGCUGGAAGUAACUGGAAGUAGGCUGGUUUUAGCUGGUUAUGCUGGAAGUAGCUGGUUUUAGCUGGAAGUAACUGGUUUUAGCUGGUCUCCCAGCCUGGCCAGGCUGGGUUAGCUGGUUAAGCUGGAAGUAGCUGGCUUUUGCUGGUCUCCCAGCCUGGCCAGGCUGGUUUUAGCUGGAAGUAGCUGGUUUUAGUUUGUCUCCCAGCCUGACCAAGCUGGUGUCCAUUUGACCUAAUUACAAAUUAAUAAGUUUGUUUCACUUACUGACAAGGUUCAAUUCAAGGUAAGUUUAGUAUCAUAGUCAGGUAGGCUAGAUGAUACAUCUUAAAUUAUUCUAGUUGUUAAUGAUAAUAUAUCUGAGAAGAGUCUAAAAUAAAUUGUAGUAUAAAGUAUAGCAUAAAAUCAAGCUAGCACUCAAAAAUCAGCAUAGAACUCAAAUUAGAUUAAAUUAUUGUGUGAAGAAAUACAUUCACCAUAGUUGUAUGACCAUAUAUAGUCAGCUGUUUUAUUUUUAAUGAGUGUUUCGGUAUUAGAUAGACUUUUACACAAAAUAUAAUGAAACAAACAGUCUUUAUAAAUAGCAAUCACCUACAAUUAAAAAACACUAGGAGCUUUAACAAGAAAUGCUUAAAGCAUAAUCUGAUCACAUGGAUCACGUGGUGGUUUGACACAAAAGUACAGCAUAUUGCUGUAAAUUUUAAAUCUACAGAGGAGGGAUUUUCUUCAACGGUCGACAUUCGGGAGCGGCAAUAAGUACGAUUCACAACUGCGGUAAGUAAUUUAUUUCACUUUUAAUUUUUCAUGCUUGGUAACUGCACUAGUGUAUUUACUACAUUAGUGGUAACCGCAGAUUAACAAAUCCUUUGUCCGCGGGGCGCGAGGGAGACUUGUGCUGGGUUUAAGGAGCGCGGUCGCGGGAGGAUUUCACACAUUCCCCGCCUCAAAGCGGCUACAGGCGGAAAAUCUCUGGGUUCCUACGGUAAUAAUUACACGCUUCAUUGACAACAGUUGUGAUUUACGGGAACGUCGUGUUGUUCAGCACACUUUCUCGUGAUUAUUUUAUAAUGUAAAUUAAAUUUGCACAAGUAGUCAUCUGUAAACAGGGGCGCCGAAAUGAAACGCGCGACGUUGCUAAAGCCUCGCAACUCGCGGUCAUCCCGCGCACGGAGGAUGUAAACUGUCACGUAAACUCUGAACGGUGCUUUUAAAGCGGUUAACGUAAGCAGCGAGAUGUGCGAGAACCUUUGGUAAUUUGCUAAUUCGCUUAUUGUUUGAUUGUAAUGCUUUUUGCUAACUUUGGUUUAAAGAAUGAGUUAAUCCAGCCCAUCUUCCUGUCUGGCCUUUUCGCAGCAUAUAUUCACUCCGGAGUAGCCUUACCAGGAGACAGACGGAGAUUUGGAGUUCAUUCAAAGAUAUUUAAGAGAAACAAAGAAGUCGAAAGGAAAAGUGCCAUCUAAAACAACAGGGCAAAUGGUACAGAAGAAACCGGUUGAAGUGAACCCAAGUUGCCACUCUUCUUUGCAAAGUGAAGGAUUUUCAGUGGAAUUUCUGAAAUUCUGUUUCAGUGACUGGCAGAAACAAAAGGAGCCUGAAAGAAGAGAGAGAGAGAAGAGGGAGAAACAAGUGGGGCAUUACAUAUCCCCAAAAAAUACAAGAUAUAAUAAAAAAGAAAAGAAAAAUGAAAAUGCAUAAUAUGUUUUGAAUUCUGUUAUUGAUCAUCUUCACCAUUAAUUGUUAAUAUAGUUUUAGAAUUGUAAUCAUUCCAAUUAUUUUGUAAAUAUUUUGUAAAUAUUUGUUAUUAAAGGGGCUGUAGGAUCAAAUAAGAAUUGUUUGAAUGGUUCCUUGUGGUCCUGCAGAUUAUUAAAUGUAAACAUAUUACUUACUUGUCGCAUUAUUUGUCAGGAAAAUUGGGGCAGACACUAUGUAAUCAAUCAGUCAUCAAACAAACAUUUUGACCAGCUAAGACCAGCCUGACCAGCUUAAACCAGCUAAGACCAGCCUGGCUGACCAGCUAAAACCAGCUAAGACCAGCCUGACCAUCUUAAACCAGCUAAGACCAGACUGACCAGCUAAAACCAGCUAAGACCAGCCUGACCAGCUUAAACCAGCUAAGACCAGACUGACCAUCUUAAACCAGCUAAGACCAGACUGACCAGCUAAAACCAGCUAAGACCAGCCUGACCAGCUUAAACCAGCUAAGACCAGACUGACCAGCUAAGACCAGCCUGGCUGACCAGCUAAAACCAGCUAAGACCAGCCUGACCAGCUUAAACCAGCUAAGACCAGCCUGGCUGACCAGCUAAAACCAGCUAAGACCAGCCUGACCAGCUUAAACCAGCUAAGACCAGCCAGGCUGACCAGCUAAAACCAGCUUGACCAGCUAAAAAAAAGUGGUCAAAACCCCUCUAAAACCAGCCUGAUAAAUCAGCUAUGACCAGCAUGGGAGACCAGCUUAAACCAGCUUGACCAGCUUAAGCUGGUUUAAGCUGUUUUUUUAGCAGGGUGUGAUAUAGGUCAAAUAAUAAAUCAACCUUUGUCACCAUGUAAAAUUAAAAUUAUACAGCCAUCAGUGCAUCACUGGUGUGAGGGAACACAAAAUCUCACAAUGACAGCAACACAGGUUUAAUUAAUUUGCACGGGGCUAUUUAUUUUACCUGUAAUCAAAUAUCCAAAAGGUCUGUUGCAGGCCUUUAUUGGCAUAAUAAAUUAUUAUUGGCAAAAAUAUUCAGACCCUUCACAGAUAUGACACAUUUAAAUAUAAACGUACAUACACACACACACACACACACAUAUAUAUAUAUAUUAUAAAUAAAACAAGUCUAACAUAAAAUGUAUAAAUACUGCCAUCUGUUAGAUUUAUUUAAAUUUGAUCAACUCAAUUUUAGUUUUGGCCCGGCUCGUAGAUCUUUCCUGAUCUCGCUUUCUCCCUCAUUGCUUCCUGUCAAUUAACUGUCCUAUCCAAAUAAAGGCUAAAAAGCUAAAAUCUUUUUUUUAAAAAUGCAGUAUCUUUGAAAUAGUUCAGUCUCACACUAUGUACAAAUUAGCAUUGUCUUAAAAAUUCAGACUUUGACUGCAGCUGGCUUGAUAUCUACUUAUUGUCAAUUGAAUACAGCGGCUUGCAUUUAAUUACCUGUUUGCAUCCAGGCCAGGUUGUACGGGGGUGCUAGAGGUGCUGGAUCCUCAAAAGAAAGCAAGAGCACCUUCAGAUGAAGCUGUAGAAAUAGGCAAAAAAUAUAUUUCGCCAACACUCCAGUAGGCCUAUAUUUUUGCAUUUGCACUCUGAAGAGGUUUAAAGGUUUCUAUAUAUAAUGUGUUUUUACAGCAUUGAGCAAUGUAGCAAAUCAAAACUUUGUGAGAUCUUGAUGAACUUAAGUGAGUGGCAGUUUUUUUGUGAUUAUAAAGGGAGCGCUAUUUGCACACUUUCUUGGGUCUGAUCUAUGAUCCAUUCAGAAUUUUAAUAAGUUUUGUUUCUCAUGAUGCUAAGACCAGUAGCACUUACACGCUGCAAAGUUUCAGAACUGACUUCCCAUAUAGCCUUUAUAUGUGGAUGUCACUAUCAUGAUAAUGACAAUGAUAGUGAUAACCAUUACAAUGGACAGGGCAUAAAUAUGUCAAAAAUAAAUGUGCAUUAAGACUAGAGCACCCUCAAUAAUUUUAGAAGCGCCCUGUCUCUGCAUUGUUCCAGAGACGUGUUCUGACAAAUAAUGCAUUUUUAAUACUGUAAGGGUGGGUUUAGGGUUUGGGUAGGUGUAGAUGUUCAUAAGGCCCCAAACCACAUUAAUAUGGAAGCACAAUUUGAUAGGUAGCAUUUUUUGCUGUCGAAUUAUGUUACCUACACACAACGGCUCAAAUUCUCAAUUGAAUGUGCGGGAGAAGCAGGACUUCUCAUUUGGAAAAAAAAGUGUAAAAUCCUUUUUUUUUUUCUAUAUUCAUUUGUGCAUUUGGAAAAUGUUUAUUAAACAAACAAGCCAUUCAAAAAAACUCUGAAAAAAUGUCAAUACUUUAAUUUUCACCCAGCAUUGUGUGUGUAAGGUUCUAAUUUUGAUUUUGGGGUUCAACAUAGCAUUUAAAACUGCAAUUUUAAAUGCUAGCAACUGCUUUUUUUUUUUUUUUCAUUUUUUCGUCAUGGCUAAAAAAAGGAAAAAACAAUGGAUGCAGAAGUACUGCUUUCAUUGCCACAAUAGCUUGUUCGGUUAAAAUUUUUCUAAAUACCGUAAGUCACUAACAAACUAUUCUGACAGCUAUUAAAUAUAUUCUUUUUUCUAAUCCUGAGGUUCUGUCAGGACCACUGUCGUUAAAAUGAUAGACAGUUAGCAUACAGUUUGGUUUGGCGGCAUGGUUCUGUUCUGGGCAAAAAACUCCCUGCCCAUCCAUGCAGCAUGUCAUGAAUGAGCAGGGAGAGAAGCAAUAAUAACCUCCAUCAAAGAGUUUCUUAAAUCAAUUGAUAUUUACAGUCUGUGUCAAUAUUCUUCAUGCUAUGAAGUGCUACAAAUCUACUUUAAAAAUACAAUGAACAGCAGCGUGAUUUGCUAAAGCAGCAUACUUUGUGGGCAUCCUAUCACACGCACGCUGCAUUUGUGGAUGCAGUCAGUUUUGAUGCAAAAGAUGAGGUAAUUUGAUGUCAUUUGACCAUUUACGACACUAAAAUUUCCUAUUUUAUACUAAAAGCGUUAUUUUGCUUAUCAGAAAUACAUACUCUAUUUAAAUGUUGCUUGAAAUUGGGGUAGAAUUAAACAAAUGGCAAAGCUCAGCAUUUUGUUUGCGUACCAGCAGGUACAUACAAGCAGGUCUAGCAACGAACAUGAUACUGAACACUAGAUAAGCCUUAACAAGCAUGCAAAAUCCCAAUAUUGUGAUAGUGUAAAACAAGACCUUCUGAAAUAGCAUAGACUGGGGCAGCAUGCCCUUUACAAAAGAAGAAAAGCAGCGAAGGUGUGCUCUUCUUUAUAAGAAGCUGAGAAGAGCAGCAUGCCCCUUAAUGCAGUACAGCAUAUGGUGCAACAGGCAUGUUGCCAUUAUCCACAUAAUUGUUAGGUUUAAUAACGAUUUUUUUUUUUUUAGUAGCAAAAUCUAAAUACAGUGCGUUAACUAUCAUAUCAACCAUGUUACCGAUACACUAGAUAGCUUUUUUAAUCAUCAGCAUAUCACCAACUAAAACACAGUAUUUUGGAAUAAAAGUUGGAUAAAUUUAAUGAAACUGCAUUCCAAAUACUAAAACAGCAAGCCUGUUUCACAUCCGACAGCCUUGACAACAGAUUUAAAAUAAGCCUAGCUGUGGUAAGUUUAACUAGUAAUAUUACCAGCGUGUCAUAAUACAACCAAUAGCCUAAGCAACGGCAUGCCUAGCAAACAAACGUUACUGAAUAACUAGCCUUAAACAUGAGCAAUAUUUAACGAUAGCAUAUUUGCCAUAUUUGCCAUGCAUCUCCUAAUGCAGGCACAUUAGCAGAACUCAGCUAAAAUUGCGGGCAUUGCGGGCAAAGUGUUUACGCAGUGCUUGCUCAGGUCACUUCCGAGUCCAUCAGCUUGUAUCAAUCAACACGGCGAAUUUGGUUCGGUUCAGGAACUUGAAUCUGGUGAGAAACUCUGUGGGAAAUGAACACCUGUUGCAAAAUCCUGAUUGAACGCUUAUAGAGAACGAAAUCGCUGACUAUCUGCUUUGCUCCUGAGCAAGCGACAAAGCUGCCGAAUAAUACUGGAUCGAGCUUAUAUAGGAAUGGCAUGUGUCGUAUUCCUAUAGGUAGAUGUGAUCAGCUGAGAUUCAGCUGAUGCGAGCUUGACUCACUUGACCUGCCAGAACUAACACUAUAUGCUUAAUUUGUUUUAGGUUAAAUAACAUUAUUUACAUCUGUUUUUUUACUUGAGUUUUAUAUACAAGUUUUAAAAAAAAACAUCUCAACCAAGCAUUGUUUCUUAUCUUUAAAUGGGGAAACAAAAUUAAAAUCUAAUAAUUUAUUAUCCAAUUUAAAUGUUUUUGUUUGACUACAACGAACAACAAAAAAAAUGACUUUAUAAAUAUAUUUCAUGUAAAUCAGGGAUGUCCAAACUCAGUCCUGGACAGUCACUGUCCUGCAGUGUUUAGCUCCAACCCAAAUCAAACACACCUGAAUCAGCUAAUCAAGGUCUUACUAACU